GGCUUGUAUUGAAACUUUCUCAUAAUCUUAACCAUACAAUGCGUUUGUGAAGCUAAUAUUUGUUUUUUAGCUCACCUGGCCUAGAGGGCCAAGUGAGCUUUUCUCAUCACUUGGCGUCCGUCGUUAACUUUUACAAAAAUCUUCUCCUCUGAAACUACUGGACCAAAUUAAACCAAACUUGUCCACAAUCAUCAUUGGGGUAUCUAGUUUAAAAAUUGUGUCCGGUGACCCGGUCAACCAACCAAGAUGGCCGCCAUGGCUAAAAAUAGAAUAUAGGGGUAAAAUGCAGUUUUUGGCUUAUAACUCAGAAACCAAAGCAUUUAAAGCAAAUCUGACAGGGGUUAAAUUGUUUGCCAGGUCAAGAUCUAUCUGCCCUGAAAAUUUCAGAUGAAUCGGUCAACCCAGUGUUGGGUUGCUGCCCCUGAAUUGGUAAUUUUAAGGAAAUUUUGCUGUUUUUGGUUAUUAUCUUGAAUAAUAUUAUAGAUAGAGAUAAACUGUAAACAGCAAUAAUGUUCAGCAAAGUAAGAUUUACAAAUAAGUCUAUACUACCGAAAUGGUCAGUUGACCCCUUUAGGAGUUAUUGCCCUUUAUAGUCAAUUUUUAACCAUUUUUUGUAAAUCUGAGUAAUCCUUUACAAAAAUCUUCUCCUCUGAAACUACUGGGCCAAAUUAAACCAAACUUGGCCACAAUCAUCAUUGGGGUAUCUAGUUUAAAAAUUUGUGUCCAGUGACCAGGUCAACCAACCAAGAUGGCCGCCAUGGCUAAAAAUAGAUAAUAGGGGUAAAAUGCAGUUUUUGGCUUAUAACUCAAAAACCAAAGCAUUAA
RNAcentral lists this long non-coding RNA (825 nucleotides) under Mytilus galloprovincialis (Mediterranean mussel). The record is from RNAcentral. Lineage: Eukaryota; Metazoa; Mollusca; Bivalvia; Mytilida; Mytilidae.